UGGAAACAGGGUGUAAACGAUG
Molecule: non-coding RNA, 22 nt
Filed under: Arabidopsis thaliana (thale cress)
Lineage: Eukaryota; Viridiplantae; Streptophyta; Magnoliopsida; Brassicales; Brassicaceae
Source: RNAcentral